AGCAGAACUGGAACUGCAACUGGAACUCUGCGCUGCGCUGCAUCCUGUCUCCUGGCUGCCUCCUUUUGGGCCUCUCCAAACUGUCCCUGCGCUGGCACAACAACACAUUCGUCAUUCGUAAGCGAUUCACACACCCAGUCCAAGCGCGUGGCACAAUCUGUCAAACGUCAUUAUCUCUGUGCUAGCUGCACGUGUAGCUUCAGUCACAGCGUCACACAACAUUUCACGCCCCGUGCCACGUUCCACAGUUUUCAAGUAGCCGCCGCCACGGCCACUGCCGCUGCAAUUUCAUUUUCUCUCUCGGUUCAAAGAGGGGAAAGUGGCAGCUGCAGCCAGCAAAGUACAGUCCGUACCCAUGGAGAACGUACAAUUGAGGCGACACUCGGACAGGUUCUACAUUUUUUGACAGCCUCUCAAGUGUCAAGGCGGAGAUGGCAGCCGAUAAGCAGAACUCAAGUGUCAAUGUUCAGCACAAAGAAAUAUGCAAAUAAUAGACAAUUUGCCACUGUAACAGCAGAAGAAUAUUUAUGAUUCAAAAAUGUGUUUCUAUGUGGUUGAGUGAUGGG
This 566-nucleotide long non-coding RNA is filed under the name Drosophila guanche. Lineage: Eukaryota; Metazoa; Arthropoda; Insecta; Diptera; Drosophilidae. The record is from RNAcentral.